This is a long non-coding RNA of Gordionus sp. m RMFG-2023, 320 nucleotides long. RefSeq lists it as uncharacterized. Lineage: Eukaryota; Metazoa; Nematomorpha; Gordioida; Chordodea; Parachordodidae. The record is from RefSeq and is a predicted model, not a curated record. The transcript has 3 exons.
CAAAAAUUAAAAAGUAUCAAACUACCACUCAAAAUGAAAAAAAAAGGUAGAUCCAGAAAAUCUGAUUUAUCAGUAAUAGGAAUUUCAAAUAAAAAGGGGAAAUUAUCAUCAUCAAAUAAGAUAUUACCAAUUAAAAUGGGCAUCCACUCACAACCAAAUUUAACACUUGUCGAAAACCCAAAAUUGAGCUCUAUUUUAUCAUCAAACAGCAAAAUAAUAUUACCUAUCAAAAUGGGCCUAUACUCACAACCAAAUAAGACUUUUGUUAAAAAUGCAAUGACAAAAGAUACUAACAAUAUACCCCAAACCUUAAAAUUUAC